GAUGAACGCUAGCGGCAGGCUUAAUACAUGCAAGUCGAACGGUAACAGGAGAGCUUGCUCUCGCUGACGAGUGGCGCACGGGUGCGUAACGCGUAUGCAACUUGCCCUUAACUGAGGGAUAGCCCAGAGAAAUUUGGAUUAAUACCUCAUAAUAUAUUUGGGACACAUGUUUUAGAUAUUAAAGCUUCGGCGGUUAAGGAUGGGCAUGCGUCCUAUUAGUUAGUUGGUGAGGUAACGGCUCACCAAGACAGCGAUAGGUAGGGGGCCUGAGAGGGUGAUCCCCCACACUGGUACUGAGACACGGACCAGACUCCUACGGGA
This 321-nucleotide ribosomal RNA is filed under the name uncultured Bacteroidota bacterium. RNAcentral describes it as "bacterial SSU rRNA". It matches the Rfam family "Bacterial small subunit ribosomal RNA", at positions 28 to 346 of the family's 1533-position model. The record is from RNAcentral. Lineage: Bacteria; Pseudomonadati; Bacteroidota.